GUUUUGAAAAUAUCUUUAAAAAAUAAGAGUUUUUGAACAAUGAAAGUAUUGAUAAAAUCACACAUCUAAGUUAAACACACUCUCAAUCACCUCACUCAUGUUUCCUGUUUUGGUUAACACAUUUUAAUUGACUUUGGUCUUUUCACCGUCGCUCUUCCACCUGCAAUGCUGGACUGAGUGUCAUGCAUUGUCCGGGAACCCAGAUCCUGGAACUUCCGGCAGAGUCUGGAGUUGUCACCUGUUGUUGUGUAAGAACCAUCUCUGCCAGUUCUUAUGAGGAGCUGCCUAGCAGAGAAUUCAACAUUGACCUGAGCCAGCUUAGCGAGCUCGUACAACAGCUGGGCUGGUUAUUCCUCUGGGCCACUGGUUCUUACCUCUGGUUGUUCAUUAGUCAUCAGGGGAAUUUUUGAAAAGUAUGGGAGCCUGUCCACACCCAGAGAUUUGGUUCUAACGGGUCCUCAGUGAGCCAGGACAUUGGUUUGGGUCCCACUGGUUUAGUUCCCCUCAUUAGGACUUUUGCUCUGGAACAUGCUGCAUUUUCCCAGGCCCAGGGCAAAGAAGAAUGUCCUACAUGAUCAGAAUUUAAGGGACUGUUAUGCUGCUUUCCUACCUGACUGUUCACCUAGUCUUUUUUUUUUUUUUCCAAAAUGUAACACCAUGAAAAGUUUAUCUCUCUCAAAAAAUAGACACAAUGGUAUUAAUGACAACAGCAGUUGCAGCUCCUGGAGGUGGUUCCAUUUUUCCCACAUGUGAUUUUAUUUCACUCUGUCUUGAGUUCUCAAGUUUUUCAAGACAAAAUCUUCCGAGUCAGUCAUGGCUCUUCUCUUUAUCCUCACUCCGCUUCUCUAGUUCUUUAUCAGGUCCAGUUUGACUCUAUCUCUAAAACCAUUUCUGAAUGUGUCAAUUUCUUUCAUUCUAACUGGCUCUACUACAAGUCCAAGUCACCAUCCUCUCUUGACUGGGCUACUGCAGUGGACUCUGGCCUGGUCUCUAAGCUUUCUUUCUUGAGGGAUCUGGUCAUACCACUCCCUAUGCAAAACCCUGUUGUAGAGCAAAGUCCAGGCUUGUUGCUUUAUCCUAAAAAGCCCCAUGGCAAGGGCCUCUGCCUGACUCCUUGACUUUGUGGACAAAUGGGUUUAUCUAUGGGGAAAUAAGAAUGCAACAUUCCUGACAUCAUGGAGGCCCAGCCUUCUAUCUAGAGUUAUAUAACAUCUUGGAAGGUUCCAAAGGCAUUAAGUCAAGUCCAGGUUUGUCAGUUUCUCCAAAAGAUGUCAAUGAAAACUGCAUACGUCUUGCAGCUGAAUAUCUAAAGUAUCAAUUGCCUGAAAAAUACUGAUGAGCAGGCUGUAGGAAGAGUGUGCAGAAGCUGCAGGAAGAGUGGGUCCUGCUCACUGCCUUCUCUUUUUUUUGUUGUUAUCUUGCACUCCCCAUGCCAGGGGACAUGGGAGGUGGAGAAUCCUCGUGAAGUGCGUGGGGACAGUUGACCAUCUUCCACUCCUCCCAGUCUACCCCCAGAGCCUCUCUCUCUACAGGUUUGCCUGGCUCUUAAUUUGAGGACCUGUCUCUGCAGAGGCCCCUUGGUGAUAAACUCAGGGUCACGAGUCAGUUCUCAUAGGGAUGUUCACUCUCCAGACUCACACCCACUGGCUGCCCUUGCAGACCUGCUGGGUGCCACAGAACCAGGGUUGGUAUAUUUUCUUUUAUUAGACAAUAAGAGCUGCACACCACAGCGCUUGCCUUUUCUUUUUGCUUUUCUUUCCAGGGCUGUGUUAGUGCUGAUUAUGGAUGUAUUCAUCAGCUCUCUUUUCUGUUCUUUCUCUUUCUGCUGCCAUUUGUCCAGUUUAUUCUUGGGUGUGUGUGCAUGUGUACUUAUGGAGAGCUCAGUUCAAGUAACUUUGUGGGAAGGCUGGCCGGGCCGGCUUCUGUGGUCUUGAUGCACCGCCCUUGUCCUUCCUCCCACCUCUCCUGGCAUUCACACCUGCUUCAGAGUCCCCUCCACACAUUCAAUUUGGGGUCCUCUACCCCUACUUCGGCCCAUGUGAUCACCAAGUGGUCCAGAGCAGUCCUUGGACCUGUCCACCCCAUGAAAUGGGAACCCUCAAAAGACCCAGAUGCCGUUUUAGGGGGACAGGAUGUAUUGAAGAUUUAUAAAUGGAGCAAUCUCCUAAUCAAAAUAAACAUCAUCCAAUCAUGCUCACAGGGUGGUGGCAAAUUAGUGGCAGCAUAUUUUGUUUUCUUUAGCGGUGAUCCAUGAUUGAUUUAUGGAUUAAAUUGUGCCCUGUGAAGUACAUAUAUAUCUGUGAACUGUCUCCCUAAGCAUUUCCUGUUCACCUCUGUGCCACAUGCCUGGCUGAAGGAGAGAAUUGUUUCUCCUCUAGGCAGGAGCUGUCUGCAUAGCUCCUUGGGCUGGGAUAGUGUCUGCUUAGGGCUGCAUUCGGCUUUGUCUUCUGCUCUGUCCUCUGAGCUCAGCAAAAGGCCUAUAAAAAGGAAGG
This 2492-nucleotide long non-coding RNA is filed under the name Homo sapiens (human). Its description in RNAcentral is "non-protein coding lnc-BCL2L11-6:1". The record is from RNAcentral. Lineage: Eukaryota; Metazoa; Chordata; Mammalia; Primates; Hominidae.